UUCCGGUUGAUCCUGCCGGAGGUUACUGCUAUCGAGGUUCGACUAAGCCAUGCGAGUCGAAUGUAGCAAUACAUGGCGAACUGCUCAGUAACACGUGGACAACCUGCCCUUAGGACGGGGAUAAACCCGGGAAACUGGGUAUAAUACCCGAUAGGUCUCGAUUGCUGGAAUGCAUCGAGAUUUAAAGCUCCGGCGCCUAAGGAUGGGUCUGCGGCCUAUCAGGUAGUAGUGGGUGUAGCGUACCUACUAGCCUACGACGGGUACGGGUUGUGAGAGCAAGAGCCCGGAGAUGGAUUCUGAGACACGAAUCCAGGCCCUACGGGGUGCAGCAGGCGCGAAAACUUUACAAUGCUGGCAACAGCGAUAAGGGAACCUCGAGUGCCAGGUUACAAAUCUGGCUGUCGAGAUGCCUAAAAAGCAUUUCAUAGCAAGGGCCGGGCAAGACCGGUGCCAGCCGCCGCGGUAACACCGGCGGCUCGAGUGGUAACCGUUAUUAUUGGGUCUAAAGGGUCUGUAGCCGGCCGGAUAAGUCUCUUGAGAAAUCUGGCAGCUUAACUGUCAGGCUUUCAGGAGAUACUGUCUGGCUCGAGGCCGGGAGAGGUGAGAGGUACUUCAGGGGUAGGGGUGAAAUCUUGUAAUCCUUGAAGGACCACCAGUGGCGAAGGCGUCUCACCAGAACGGACCUGACGGCAAGGGACGAAAGCUAGGGGCACGAACCGGAUUAGAUACCCGGGUAGUCCUAGCCGUAAACGAUACUCGCUAGGUGUCGGCCACGGUGCGACCGUUGUCGGUGCCGUAGGGAAGCCGUGAAGCGAGCCACCUGGGAAGUACGGCCGCAAGGCUGAAACUUAAAGGAAUUGGCGGGGGAGCCCACAACGGG
Molecule: ribosomal RNA, 880 nt
Filed under: Methanosaeta sp. enrichment culture clone AA1
Lineage: Archaea; Methanobacteriati; Methanobacteriota; Methanomicrobia; Methanotrichales; Methanotrichaceae
Description: bacterial SSU rRNA
Rfam family: Archaeal small subunit ribosomal RNA
Source: RNAcentral